GCACGAUGCAAGAGCCU
This 17-nucleotide unclassified non-coding RNA is filed under the name Mus musculus (house mouse). RNAcentral's name for it is "oocyte_clustered_small_RNA2194". The record is from RNAcentral. Lineage: Eukaryota; Metazoa; Chordata; Mammalia; Rodentia; Muridae.